GCCGUGGGCGCUGGAGAAUUGAGGGGGGCUGCUCCUAGUACGAGAGGACCGGAGUGGACGCAUCACUGGUGUUCGGGUUGUCAUGCCAAUGGCACUGCCCGGUAGCUAAAUGCGGAAGAGAUAAGUGCUGAAAGCAUCUAAGCACGAAACUUGCCCCGAGAUGAGUUCUCCCUGAGACCUUGAGUCUCCUGAAGGAACGUUAAAGACGAUGACGUUGAUAGGUCGGGUGUGUAAGCGCAGCGAUGCGUUGAGCUAACCGAUACUAAUGAACCGUGAGGCUUAACCUU
Molecule: ribosomal RNA, 287 nt
Filed under: Enterobacter hormaechei
Lineage: Bacteria; Pseudomonadati; Pseudomonadota; Gammaproteobacteria; Enterobacterales; Enterobacteriaceae
Description: partial 23S ribosomal RNA
Rfam family: Bacterial large subunit ribosomal RNA
Source: RNAcentral